This is a long non-coding RNA of Haliotis rubra (blacklip abalone), 87 nucleotides long. RefSeq lists it as uncharacterized. The transcript has 3 exons. The record is from RefSeq and is a predicted model, not a curated record. NCBI's taxonomy places the organism in Eukaryota, Metazoa, Mollusca, Gastropoda, Lepetellida, Haliotidae.
CAUUAUGUUAACCUGGGGCUCGUGUCACGAAGCAACCUUUACUAAGGUUAACCUUUACUCCCAUUCUAUAACAUUACAAUAUGAUUA